RNAcentral lists this ribosomal RNA (610 nucleotides) under Brotula multibarbata (goatsbeard brotula). Its description in RNAcentral is "partial large subunit ribosomal RNA". It matches the Rfam family "Bacterial large subunit ribosomal RNA", at positions 1839 to 2637 of the family's 2925-position model. The record is from RNAcentral. Lineage: Eukaryota; Metazoa; Chordata; Actinopteri; Ophidiiformes; Ophidiidae.
AAUAUAAGAUGUCCCGCCGCCUGCCCCUGAUGACUAUUAGCUUUAACGGCCGCGGUUAUUUUGACCGUGCGAAGGUAGCGCAAUCACUUGUCUCUUAAAUGGCGGACCUGAUAUGAAUGGCAUAACGAGGGCUUAACUGUCUCCUCUUUUCAAGUCAAUGAAAUUGAUCUCCCCGUGCAGAAGCGGGGUAUAACAACAUAAAACGAGAAGACCCUAUGGAGCUUUACACAUCAAGCACUCCAUGUUAAUACAGCCCUCAAAAGGAAACAAACUAAAUGGAGUCUGCCCUAUUGUCUUUGGUUGGGGCGACCACGGGGAAACACAAAACCCCCACACGGAAUGGAAGCACACCUUCUAAAAUUAAGAGCCACAGCUCUAACGAACAUAAUUUCUGACCACAAUGAUCCGGCGACGCCGAUCAACGGACCGAGUUACCCUAGGGAUAACAGCGCAAUCCCCUUUUAGAGCCCAUAUCGACAAGGGGGUUUACGACCUCGAUGUUGGAUCAGGACAUCCUAAUGGUGCAGCCGCUAUUAAGGGUUCGUUUGUUCAACGAUUAAAGUCCUACUUGAUCUGAGUUCAGACCGGAGAUCUGAGUUCAGACCGGACA